UACGGGGGGAGCAAGCGUUGUUCGGAUUUACUGGGCGUAAAGGGCGCGUAGGCGGCGUGACAAGUCACUUGUGAAAUCUCCGGGCUUAACUCGGAACGGUCAAGUGAUACUGUCGUGCUAGAGUACAGAAGGGGCAACUGGAAUUCUCGGUGUAGCGGUGAAAUGCGUACAUAUCGAGAGGAACACCUGCGGCGAAGGCGGGUUGCUGGGCUGAUACUGACGCUGAGGCGCGAAAGCCAGGGGAGCGAACGGG
This 253-nucleotide ribosomal RNA is filed under the name uncultured bacterium. RNAcentral describes it as "partial 16S ribosomal RNA". It matches the Rfam family "Bacterial small subunit ribosomal RNA", at positions 524 to 776 of the family's 1533-position model. The record is from RNAcentral.